This 427-nucleotide ribosomal RNA is filed under the name uncultured bacterium. RNAcentral's name for it is "partial 16S ribosomal RNA". It matches the Rfam family "Bacterial small subunit ribosomal RNA", at positions 354 to 796 of the family's 1533-position model. The record is from RNAcentral.
GUGGGGAAUAUUGGGCAAUGGGGGAAACCCUGACCCAGCGACGCCGCGUGAGGGAAGACGGCCUUCGGGUUGUAAACCUCUUUUGUACGGGAAGAAGGAAGUGACGGUACUGUACGAAUAAGUCCCGGCUAACUACGUGCCAGCAGCCGCGGUAAUACGUAGGGGACGAGCGUUGUCCGGAAUUACUGGGCGUAAAGGGCGCGCAGGCUGUGCUGCAAGUCAGCUGUGAAAUGUCUGGGCUUAACCCGGGCAUGCGGUUGAGACUGCAGUGCUGGAGUGCUGUGGAGGCAAGUGGAAUUCCCAGUGUAGCGGUGAAAUGCGUAGAUAUUGGGAAGAACACCGGUGGCGAAGGCGACUUGCUGGGCAGCAACUGACGCUGAGGCGCGAAAGCCAGGGGAGCAAACGGGAUUAGAUACCCGGGUAGUCC